AUCUGCACGACACCGCAUGACAGGAGCGGGGGACCCACGUUUUGGCGGGGCAUCGCGGAUGCUCCUCGGGGUGAAGUCCUGGGACGCAGCGGACCGCCAGGUCGGUCCGGUGUCGCAGGGCCGGGCCAGACCUCUGGCUCGAACCCGACAGCUGACCCCGCAGGCGGGAUAGAGGUCAUCA
RNAcentral lists this small RNA (181 nucleotides) under Janibacter hoylei. RNAcentral's name for it is "c-di-AMP sequence". It matches the Rfam family "c-di-AMP riboswitch aptamer (ydaO/yuaA leader)". From Rfam's summary of the family: This family represents a conserved RNA structure found upstream of the ydaO and yuaA genes in Bacillus subtilis and related genes in other bacteria. The ydaO/yuaA element is thought to act as a genetic "off" switch for the ydaO and yuaA genes in its native state. Lineage: Bacteria; Bacillati; Actinomycetota; Actinomycetes; Micrococcales; Intrasporangiaceae. The record is from RNAcentral.